RNAcentral lists this ribosomal RNA (460 nucleotides) under uncultured bacterium. RNAcentral's name for it is "partial 16S ribosomal RNA". It matches the Rfam family "Bacterial small subunit ribosomal RNA", at positions 338 to 795 of the family's 1533-position model. The record is from RNAcentral.
CCUACGGGUGGCAGCAGUGAGGAAUAUUGGUCAAUGGGAGGGAUCCUGAACCAGCCAAGCCGCGUGAGGGAAGACGGUGCCAUGCGUUGUAAACCUCUUUUGUCGGAGAACAAAACCCGGGACGUGACCCUGACUGCGGGUAUUCGAAGAAAAAGCAUCGGCUAACUCCGUGCCAGCAGCCGCGGUAAUACGGAGGAUGCGAGCGUUAUCCGGAUUUAUUGGGUUUAAAGGGAGCGUAGGCCGGAUGUCAAGCGUGCUGUGAAAUGUCCGGGCUCAACCCGGGCCUUGCAGCGCGAACUGGCGUGCUUGAGACGGCGGAAGGCAGGCGGAAUGCGUCGUGUAGCGGUGAAAUGCUUAGAUAUGGCGAAGAACCCCGAUUGCGAAGGCAGCUUGCUGCAGGGGAACUGACGCUGAUGCUCGAAAGCGCGGGUAUCGAACAGGAUUAGAUACCCGAGUAGUC